CUGACCCAGUCAUUGAAAAAGGCCUGGAUGUUGCACCAGAAGGAUCUGUCUUCAUCCUCUGCAUCGUAGGAGACCAAAAAGCAUGGAAUUGCGCUGACAAUGCCUUUAAGAAUCUUCCUGACAUAGCAAUUCCAGAAAUCCCAAUGUUAAUGAAGCUGUCCACGAGGCAAAAGUUGGACAAUAUUGAGUGCAAGAAUGAAGAACUCGUCAAGAAAUUUAUCAGUGGAUGACACUGGCAUAGAUGAAAACGAUAUAUAUCAGCUGUUUCAGCAGUCAAUAUUCUAGACAAAACAGAAUUUACAUUAUUAGAUGUGCAAUCUUGUAAGGCAUUGUAGCGAAAUUCUCUUUGGUGUUUAGUGUCAUUGUAUAAGUAUGGAUAUGAGAAGGCAGUAUAUGGUUUACAGAUACUAUUCUAUAACAUAUACUGUUUAUAUAUUUGCCAAAAAUGCCUUAAUUAAUCCAGUGAUCUUGUGUAGUUAUUUUACUGGACAAUGGAUGAACACUGAGGGCGCUAGUCAUCGUUCACUGAAUUGGACAACCAUAUAUUUGCAUUAGAUAAAUGCAUCAGUAAAAUUGAAUUAUUACAAACUAAUAACAAAGAGUAUGCUGGACUUCUAUACAAGCAUGUGUAUUAAUUCGAAAUUAUAAAAUACUGCAUAACUUUAAUUUGUAGCUGAUUAUGUUCGCUAUGUCAUUGUGAUCAGUGGUGCUGUGAGGCUAAGUAUUAUUCAUAUCACAAAUUUACUUUAUACUGUUGGUUAAUUUUACUGCCAUUUUAGUCAUAACAUGUAUUGCAGAUGGGAGAUUAAAAUAUACAUAACAUUCAA
Molecule: long non-coding RNA, 827 nt
Organism: Saccoglossus kowalevskii
Lineage: Eukaryota; Metazoa; Hemichordata; Enteropneusta; Harrimaniidae
Source: RefSeq, a predicted model, not a curated record